This 74-nucleotide transfer RNA is filed under the name bacterium. RNAcentral describes it as "tRNA-Cys". It matches the Rfam family "tRNA". From Rfam's summary of the family: Transfer RNA (tRNA) molecules are approximately 80 nucleotides in length. Their secondary structure includes four short double-helical elements and three loops (D, anti-codon, and T loops). Further hydrogen bonds mediate the characteristic L-shaped molecular structure. tRNAs have two regions of fundamental functional importance: the anti-codon, which is responsible for specific mRNA codon recognition, and the 3' end, to which the tRNAs corresponding amino acid is attached (by aminoacyl-tRNA synthetases). tRNAs cope with the degeneracy of the genetic code in two manners: having more than one tRNA (with a specific anti-codon) for a particular amino acid; and 'wobble' base-pairing, i.e. permitting non-standard base-pairing at the 3rd anti-codon position. RNAcentral also lists the same sequence under 1 other name. The record is from RNAcentral.
GGCCACGUGGCCGAGUGGUUAGGCAAGGGUCUGCAAAACCCUUUACACCGGUUCAAUCCCGGUCGUGGCCUCCA